UACGUAGGAUCCGAGCGUUGUCCGGAUUUACUGGGUGUAAAGGGUGCGCAGGCGGAAUGGUAAGUCAGUGGUGAAAUCUCGUCGCUUAACGACGAAACUGCCUUUGAUACUAUCAUUCUUGAAUCCGGUAGAGAUCUGUGGAAUUCCGAGUGUAGCAGUGAAAUGUGUAGAUAUUCGGAAGAACACCAGUGGCGAAGGCAGCAGAUUGGGCCGGUAUUGACGCUCAGGCACGAAAGCAUGGGGAUCAAACAGG
This 253-nucleotide ribosomal RNA is filed under the name uncultured bacterium. RNAcentral describes it as "partial 16S ribosomal RNA". It matches the Rfam family "Bacterial small subunit ribosomal RNA", at positions 524 to 776 of the family's 1533-position model. The record is from RNAcentral.